CGUACAAAAGGGUUACGACGCCACACAACUAAUUACACUUCGGGCUAAAAAGAAAGACAGAAUGAAAAAAGGGUUAAAUUUAGGCCCCGGGGAAAUUCACUUCAUUUACACAUUGAAGGUGGAAAAUUCCCGGCUCGCUUUUACAACCCAAAAGUUGCCGCCGUCUUCGUUCGUUCAUUGAGCAGACCAACGAUCUCCGCGAGAUCCGAUGCCGUUGGUCAUUAUGAAUCGCGCCAGACUUUUGAUGGGAAAGACCCGGAAUGUCAUUAGGACCUCAGCCAUUGCAAACAAGAUCGUAAAUUAUGCUGCUGGUAAAUUGCUGCCAUUAAUUUUCCUUCACCGAAGAAACAAUCCAUUGCACACAAUUACUGCCCUUGGAGGUGGUGUAUGUAUAUUGGAAGCUUUUCCUUGGCAUUCAGCUGGCAGCGGACUUUCAAUCUGACAAAUCUGAAAUUAAUUCACUCCACGGCGAUUCGGUAUUAUUAUUAUUUCGGAUUUGAAUGCCAGCGCUGGGACAGUGGACGAUGGAAAACUAACGAUCCGAGGGGAAAAUGCAGCAGCCCGCAUUCACUGGAGGAUGGGGAGGAGGCUUGGCUAUGGUGUCUCUUUUUUUAAUUAAUUCAAUUAUCAAAACAAACGUUUAUUGACUUUGAUCCCAGUCCCGUAUGAUGAUGGGUACGUCACGACAUCAAUUUCCAAGUCUAACGACUCGAGUUUUACGUUUUACAGCCGAUGCGUUUUGGGGGAAAAUUGCCUCCAAUUAAGAGGAGUAAACAAAGAGACAAGGGGAUGCAUUGAGAUGAGAGGUGGAUUGGCUUGAUGACAACAAACUUGACAGACCGAAAAAAAGAAAAACCGAAAGAAACUGAAAAUGCAAUGCCAGAGGAGACAUAGUUUCAGGGGAAAUCCCGUUGCCGGUUGGGGAAA
Non-coding RNA from Drosophila kikkawai, 927 nucleotides. NCBI's taxonomy places the organism in Eukaryota, Metazoa, Arthropoda, Insecta, Diptera, Drosophilidae. The record is from RefSeq and is a predicted model, not a curated record.